Molecule: long non-coding RNA, 1884 nt
Organism: Equus caballus (horse)
Lineage: Eukaryota; Metazoa; Chordata; Mammalia; Perissodactyla; Equidae
Source: Ensembl
GACACAUAAAGAUUUCAUGAUUCAAAUUACGCUUUCAUUAACCUUUAGCAUAGGAAGUCUUUUAGUUUCUAUAAAUCUUCUAGUGGCUUACCGUCUGUCCUACUGAUGUGAAUAAUAGAUGUUUGGGGAAAUCGCUCUUUAAAAACCUAGGGUAUUUAAUUUACGAGAGCUAAAUACAUAUUUCAGACUCACUUAGCAAGAACUUUAAUUACUUCUUGUUGCUUUUUCUAACUGGGAAGCCACCCCCUCCCCCCAAUCAGGUUUCUUCUGCUUGACUCAGAUGUUUUAGAGAUGGUAAAAGCUUUCAAGUCUAAGUCCCGGUCUUUAAUACUCAUUAGUUCUUUUAAGCUAAGUAAUGUCCUAAAGAGAGUUAAGGGGAUGUCUCAGGUGUGGACCAUUACGCAAUUAAAUUAGCCAAACUCGGAGAGAUUGGAUUAGAACUCAGCAGGGAACACCUGGGUUUCUGCAGGGCGGGGCUCUCGCCAGGAAGAGCGAGGGUCUCCCGCUUGGUAGUCUCAGUCACAGACUUGUCUUACCAGAUCAAGUGUUGCAGGCUAAGCUAUUUUUCUCUGGGAGUAGGUUUCUGUGGCUGUCAGAGUGAACAGGAAAAGCAUCUGUGAAUGUGCCAAGCCAAGGGAAACCAGGAGUUGGAGGACUCGUGGCUUUUCACAUACAAAGGCAUCCGCCCAUCCCUCCUUGCGAGCCAGCCAAGGGUGGACAAGUGCAUGCGGAGGCUGCUGCCCAGGUGCAAGGGGUGGGGGCGGGGCGGGCUGCAGAAUGCCCCAGAACAAAGGCGCCUCCAGGGGCCUGUGCAGAGGUCACCUGCUGCCUCCAGGACAGAUUAAGGAGGACUGGAGAGGGCAUUUGGAGGAAAUGGUGCUGUUCUUCUUUGGGAAAUCAAUUCGUCCCACCCUUAAUGGGGCAUUUCGCCCUCCCUCUUUGGGAGUCCCAAGCAAAUGUGCUUCCAGGUCUCUCAAAAUCGGUUCUUAACCGGCCUCUGUUUGAAGAGGCGGCACCUUGCGCGGCCUGUGCUCCCUCAAUAGCCGGUGCCCCCUGAAAAUCUCUUUCUGCUCUCUGCAACGUCUCACUUCCCUUUUCUCCCUCCUCGGGGCUCUCCCGCCCCUCCCUACCCAGGCUUCUUUCAUAAUUAGGCUGGAAGUGGAACUUUCCCCCACUCCCUUACUUUGAGAUUUCUUUUUUCCCAGUGACCUGGGCUGCACUUUGCCCCCACUCCCUGCCUGCCAAUCUCUUCGGGGUUAGGGCCUCUCUCUUUCCAUUCUUGCAGGCUCCCCCUCCUUGAGAGCCCCGGGAGGCCCAGCCUCCCAGAAUCCGAUCUCCUUCCAACGCUGCAGCCCCCCUGCGGAGGAAGGAAGAGGCCUCCUCAGAAUGAAUGGCUGAUUUCUGAAUGCCGGAGCGAGAGAAGUUUGCAGAAAGUGGAGACUCCAGGCAGGAGCCUCCUAUGACGUCAUGGUCCUCGUGAUGGAAAAUGGCAAUAGGUGAAGAUAUGGUUGGUCAACCUAAAAGUGUGAACCUACUGCUUUAGGAAUGCAAGCGCUUUGCCCCAAUUACCUGCCUCACCCUGCCUGGAAGGCCAGGCUGUGUGGAGGCGUGGAGGACAAACCACGGACGGAACCUCCACACGCUCCACUUCCAGCUUCGUCAUCUGCAAGUUCACGGGCAUUGGGAACAGGGGCUUUCAUUUUCUAAUGCCUUCUUGGCCCCCCAGAUUGGCCCUGCCUGAUGUCUUCUCAUACUCUAGAAAGGGAGGAGGCAGUGGCUAGACAGGAUGGGGCUGUAGGACAAGAAGCCCAUUUCUGUUCUUUUUGUGGAUAUAACCUCCAGGAUAUUACACUUCAUCCUGUUUUUCUAGGCAUCCAGCACUCU